This 85-nucleotide transfer RNA is filed under the name Pelagomonas calceolata. It matches the Rfam family "tRNA". Rfam says of the family: Transfer RNA (tRNA) molecules are approximately 80 nucleotides in length. Lineage: Eukaryota; Pelagophyceae; Pelagomonadales; Pelagomonadaceae. The record is from Rfam by way of RNAcentral.
GGAUGAGUGAUCGAGCGGUCGAAGGUGUCGGUUUUGAAAACCGAAGUAUCUACAGAUACCGUGGGUUCGAAUCCCACCUUAUCCU